CGAAACCUCUGCGAUGCUCGAAAGCGUGACAGGGGAAGUCUGAGUGGCGAAAACUUAGUUUCCGUCUUUUGCCAAGUGUAAGCAUCUUGGAGAAUAAGGGUGUGGGACAAGACUGGUGGCAGCCGCCGCGGUAACACCAGCGCCUCGAGUGGUACCCACAAAUAUUGGGCCUAAACCGUCCGUAGCUGGACCUCUAAUUCCGCUGUGAAAUGUUGGGGCUCAACCCUAUCUCGUACAAUGGAUACUGUUGGUCUUGGGAACGAGGGAGGGUCAGGUUACUUCCAGGGUAGGAGUAAAAUCCGUUGAGCCUGGAAGGACCACCAGUAGGCGAACGCGCCGAUCCAAAACGUGUCCGACGGUGAGGAACGAAAGCUGGGGAAGCGAACUGGAUUACAUACCCCGGUAGUCCCAGCUGUAAAUGAUGCAAACUGUGGUGUUACACAUGACUAAUCAUGUGUACUGCUGUAACGCAUGUGUUAAGUCUGCCGCCUGGGGAGUACGAUCGCAUGAUUUUAACUUAAAGGAAUUGGCGAGGGAGCAC
Molecule: ribosomal RNA, 541 nt
Filed under: uncultured archaeon
Lineage: Archaea
Description: bacterial SSU rRNA
Rfam family: Archaeal small subunit ribosomal RNA
Source: RNAcentral